RNAcentral lists this transfer RNA (73 nucleotides) under Dipodomys ordii (Ord's kangaroo rat). It matches the Rfam family "tRNA". From Rfam's summary of the family: Transfer RNA (tRNA) molecules are approximately 80 nucleotides in length. Their secondary structure includes four short double-helical elements and three loops (D, anti-codon, and T loops). The record is from Rfam by way of RNAcentral. Lineage: Eukaryota; Metazoa; Chordata; Mammalia; Rodentia; Heteromyidae.
GGUGCUGUGGCUCAAGUGGUAGAGCGCUAGCCUUGAGCUGACUCAAGGCCCUGGGUUCAAUUCCUCAGCACCA